GUGGGGAAUCUUAGACAAUGGGGGAAACCCUGAUCUAGCCAUGCCGCGUGAGCGAUGAAGGCCUUAGGGUUGUAAAGCUCUUUCAGCUGGGAAGAUAAUGACGGUAACAGCAGAAGAAGCCCCGGCUAACUCCGUGCCAGCAGCCGCGGUAAUACGGAGGGGGCUAGCGUUGUUCGGAAUUACUGGGCGUAAAGCGCACGUAGGCGGAUCAGAAAGUCAGAGGUGAAAUCCCAGGGCUCAACCUGUGAACUGACUUUGAAACUCCUAGUCUUGAGGUCGAGAGAGGUGAGUAGAAUUCCGAGUGUAGAGGUGAAACUCGUAGAUAUUCGGAGGAACACCAGUGGCGAAGGCGGCUCACUGGCUCGAUACUGACGCUGAGGUGCGAAAGCGUGGGGAGCAAACAGGAUUAGAAACCCGUGUAGUCC
Molecule: ribosomal RNA, 425 nt
Filed under: uncultured bacterium
Lineage: Bacteria
Description: partial 16S ribosomal RNA
Rfam family: Bacterial small subunit ribosomal RNA
Source: RNAcentral